GGGUUUCUUUUGGUUUUAUUUGCUUUCUGGAGAAAAUCAGGUAAUGAGUUUUGGUCCGGGGUCGGGAUUUUAUCAUGCACACAACCUGUUUGAUAAAAUGUCGCUUCGAAAUCUCAGGUGCUUCUGGGCCGUCCGGUUAUGUUGGUUUUACCAUGACAUGGGAUCUUGCUCCGACCAUCUGCAUUUCGGGUGUUAAAUAACUUAAAUUAUUCAUGUGCGUUUUGAUUCAAAAUUGCACCUCUAACCACAUUUGCUCAAACUAAUUCCUGCUCCAUUGAAUUGAUCCAAUUGUCUUGCAUGUAGCACUACAACACCUGAAUUCUGGGCCGGCCGGUUAUCUGGUCUUGUGGGUGAUUUCGGGUUUUUAGUUCUUUAAGACCCUACGUAAGUUACAUUGAGGUUUCUGCCUGGUUAGGUUUAACAUCAUUUCCUAUGACCAGGCUCUUACUUUGAUUGCUUAAAAGAUGCAAUGCAGCAGUACAACUUAGAAACAUACACGGGUCCGGGAUAGCUUUUAGUAUACAUGUUUAGAUUAAUUUCCAGGGUAAAUUUGGCGAUACACUUUAAAAAGAUUCGAGCUUUUCUUUUGAAUGCACGCUUUAUUUGUAGCUUCAGUGGUUGCUCAACAUUAUGAUUUGUUCUGCUCUUAAUUUGUGGAAGUACUGCUGCUGUUUUGUAGUGGUGCACUUUUAAGCGGUAUAUUGGCUCGUAGCCAGCACGCUUCUUCCAACACUUGCCAGCAAGUGAUUGCUGGCAAUAUGAGUCCCAAAAGUACAUUGAACUCGAGCAGAGCCCUACAGGGAUGCAUGGGGUGCAUGUGGUGUCCAGUUCUCGGUUUGAAUCAGAAGAGACUACUCAAAAUGACCUUUCUCACUCAACUUGUGGAACCUCACCUAUUGGAGCAAAUCAGCAGCUUUUUGUGCAGCGAGUGUGGCAGCAAAGACCGCCAUGCUUGAAGCCCAUCCAGGGCUGCUGCAUUCAAGGUGAUCAGAGUGUUGCAGAAACACUCGUGAAUGUGCUCACUUCACUUCCUUUUAUAGUUCUUGGAAUCCAUGCCCCAAGGAAGAAUCUAAAUACCAAGCUAUAUGCUAAUUCAUUAAUCGGAGUUGGAGUCGCCUCAAGUUUAUAUCAUUCUUCAAGAGGAAAACUAAGGAAAUAUUUAAGAUGGGCCGACUAUACGAUGAUAGCCACAACAACAGUAUGUCUAUCAAGAGCCCUCAGAAAUGAAAACCCAAGGCUGCUGACGGUAGCUUCUGCAUUAUUUUUACCUUUCCAGCCUCUGAUGGUUUCUGCCGUUCACACGGGAUUAAUGGAGGUAGCAUUCGCCAAGAGAGCAUUGAAAGAUCCAGAGCUAAGAAAUGCCCACAAUGUACAUAAGAUGUCAUCACUAUUGGGAGGUGUCUUGUUCAUUGCCGAUGACAUGUUUCCUCAGACUCCGUUCCUUCAUGCUGCAUGGCACCUUGCUGCAGCCGUCGGUGUUGGCACCUGCAAUAAGCUUCUGGAGUAGCCAUCAUUCAAACAGAUAGAAGACCUGGCCAGCAGGCUAGAUACAAUUCUACAACCAAAUUUGUCGAUCCAACCUUAUUAUUUUGCAGAAUGCCACCGGAAUUAUUAUUUAGUUAAUAUCUAGGUAAAAUCAUAGGCGCAGGGACAAGGUACGAGGUACGAGGGUUGUCUGGGAAAGUCGGAACAUUAACAAAAAUUUUCCGAUUGACAUGUAAAUAAGAUAAUAGCAGUAUUAUUGUUGCUGGUGGAUAUUCUGUGUAAUUGAAAGAUAGUGGCAACCAAUUUCAGUACUAAAAGGGAGUAUAAGAUCACUCAAUAUUUUGUGUCA
RNA transcript from Pyrus x bretschneideri (Chinese white pear), 1834 nucleotides. RefSeq lists it as uncharacterized. NCBI's taxonomy places the organism in Eukaryota, Viridiplantae, Streptophyta, Magnoliopsida, Rosales, Rosaceae. The record is from RefSeq and is a predicted model, not a curated record. The transcript has 6 exons.